UGGCAUUGGUGCUUCUGAGAACCUUGAGAA
Molecule: non-coding RNA, 30 nt
Filed under: Homo sapiens (human)
Lineage: Eukaryota; Metazoa; Chordata; Mammalia; Primates; Hominidae
Source: RNAcentral